Molecule: ribosomal RNA, 505 nt
Filed under: uncultured bacterium
Lineage: Bacteria
Description: bacterial SSU rRNA
Rfam family: Bacterial small subunit ribosomal RNA
Source: RNAcentral
CUGGCUCAGGAUGAACGCUAGCGACAGGCUUAACACAUGCAAGUCGAGGGGCAGCAUAAAAGUAGCAAUACUUGGUGGCGACCGGCGCACGGGUGAGUAACGCGUAUGCAACCUACCUAUCAGAGGGGAAUAACCCGGCGAAAGUCGGACUAAUACCGCAUAAAACAGGGGCACCGCAUGGUGAUAUUUGUUAAAGAAAUUCGCUGAUAGAUGGGCAUGCGUUCCAUUAGGUAGUUGGUGAGGUAACGGCUCACCAAGCCGACGAUGGAUAGGGAACUGAGAGGUUGGUCCCCCACACUGGUACUGAGACACGGACCAGACUCCUACGGGAGGCAGCAGUGAGGAAUAUUGGUCAAUGGGCGGGAGCCUGAACCAGCCAAGUCGCGUGAAGGAGGAAGGAUCUAUGGUUCGUAAACUUCUUUUGCAGGGGAAUAAAGUGCAGGACGUGUCCUGUUUUGUAUGUACCCUGAGAAUAAGGAUCGGCUAACUCCGUGCCAGCCGCUGC